ACCCUUCCAUUGCUAAGCCAACGCCCUUAUAUUGAAGGCGUUCCGCAAGGAACUAUGGCGAUAAAUGCGCGUGCAAUAACCAGACCGGACCCGGGUGCGAAUCCCGGCGGCUCCACCAUCACCUCCCCGCUCGUUGGGCUUAUGGGGACGCAUGGGGCCGAGUUAGGAUCGACGGAUGGCUAAAGACGUGGCGUUCGCCCGCAUGGGCUCCGUCAUCAGCCCAUUGUUAAAGUUGCCAACGACAACUUUGCUGAAGAGGUGCGUCUCGCUGCGUAAGCGGCGCGAUCACUUCGCACUUUAAGUCCUCGGCUCUAGCAAGCCGCAGGCGGGGUUCGGGGGCACCUGGCAACAGAAGCCCCCACU
RNAcentral lists this transfer-messenger RNA (363 nucleotides) under Glycocaulis profundi. RNAcentral's name for it is "Glycocaulis sp. ZYF765 transfer-messenger RNA". It matches the Rfam family "Alphaproteobacteria transfer-messenger RNA". From Rfam's summary of the family: Bacterial tmRNA, also known as 10Sa RNA or SsrA, is named for its dual tRNA and mRNA-like properties. Lineage: Bacteria; Pseudomonadati; Pseudomonadota; Alphaproteobacteria; Maricaulales; Maricaulaceae. The record is from RNAcentral.